UGGGGAAUUUUGCGCAAUGGGCGAGAGCCUGACGCAGCGACGCCGCGUGUACGAUGAAGGCCUUUGGGUCGUAAAGUACUGUCAACGGGGACGAACGCCUCAGGUUGAAUAGGUCUGAGGUCUGACGGUACCCGUGGAGGAAUCAGCAUCGGCUAACUCCGUGCCAGCAGCCGCGGUAAUACGGAGGAUGCAAGCGUUAUCCGGAAUGAUUGGGCGUAAAGCGUCCGCAGGUGGUAAUGCAAGUCUACUGUUAAAGAGUGAAGCUUAACUUCAUAAAGGCGGUGGAAACUGCAUAACUAGAGUACGUUCGGGGCAGAGGGAAUUCCUGGUGUAGCGGUGAAAUGCGUAGAUAUCAGGAAGAACACCGGUGGCGAAAGCGCUCUGCUAGGCCGUAACUGACACUGAGGGACGAAAGCUAAGGGAGCGAAUGGGAUUAGAUACCCCUGUAGUCC
RNAcentral lists this ribosomal RNA (452 nucleotides) under uncultured prokaryote. Its description in RNAcentral is "bacterial SSU rRNA". It matches the Rfam family "Bacterial small subunit ribosomal RNA", at positions 355 to 796 of the family's 1533-position model. The record is from RNAcentral.